CAGGUGACCAGCUAGACAAAGUCCACCAUAAAGUCCAUGGUCACUUUUUCUUUGUAACUAACUGGUAAGUGCUUCCUGGGGAGGGACUCUGAAACUUUUUUUUCUUUCUUUCUGUUGUGUGUGUGUGUUUGUUUUUCUUUUUUAAGAGACAGGGUCUUACUCUGACACCCAGACUGGAGUGCAGUGGCGUGAUCAUGGCUCACUGCAGCCUUGGACUCCCGGGCUCAAACCAUCCUCCUGCCUCAGCUUCCCAAGUAGCUGAGACUACAGGCUGUGAGCUGAUUUGUACCUGGGAAAGCCAAAGUGUUCACAUAGACUAAGUCAGAAUAAGCUCCUCCAACUCGACUUGAUCCUGGGUGCAGAAAAUGCUGGAAGCCUGACACAAUCACAGCCCAAAGGGAGCAAAUGAAAAGAAAUCCUCUGAAUGAAAUUUGGGGUCUCACUUCGGGCAGCACCCACCCUCUGCAAAAGGGAGAUGUUUCCACAGCUGCUGAUCCUGGAUCCAGAGGCAGCACUCCCUCCACGAGGGACACUCGGGCAUUGUAAACUCAAGCAUCCCUUUGUUUUCCAUUCUUCACUCAGACAUUCCUGAUGACUAACUAGGGAUCAAUAUAAAUCACGUCAUUGUGAUCUCGGGUCUUUUCCUGCUAAAGAAAAGUAGAGAGUAUAAGGAAAUGACGGUGGUUUGAAAACAGAAAGCAAAAGUACUCCCUACAAAAGUUAUCUGGAGCUAUUAGGAAAACAAGGAAGAGGCUCCUGGUGAUUUGGAAGCCGGGCCAAGGUCUAGGAUGCAAUUGAUGUCAAUAGGUCCUUUGCAGGUAGAGGGACAGGUGAGGUCAUAGUCUGACGUCUGUUCUUACAGGGCUCCUCCCUGGAAAUGACUCGCUCUCUCUGUACUCAUUUCCUCUCAAGGCUUUGUUCCAGCAAGGGUUUCUUUUGAAAUAGGAGAAUCCCAGGUGGCACAGGAUGGGAUGGGGUCUCAGUGGGAGCAGUUGCUGCAAUUGCGAAAGAGGAGGAGGAGGAGGAGGAGGGGAAAGAGGCAAUACUUCCAGCCUCCAGGGAAAAUCUCUGUGCUUGCUGCCUUAUCACAGUGACUGGAAAUCCACCCUCAGAUGCACACACAAAGCUGUCAUUAACAGAAGCUUCACGUGCACCCCGGAAAGCAAAAUUGGGCACUCGGCUUCAAAGGAAACGGCUUCUUCCUUCACAAUACUUCAUCACUAAAUGGUUGUCUGGCAUGUUUGUUUUUUCAAAUGUCCACAUUUUAUUUGUCCAACUGAUUGUCUCUUUAUCAGCAGCAGCCAGGACCACAGCUGAACUGUUUGUGAGUUGGUAGUUUAUAAAAUCAAUGCUAAGUCUUUGCUAGUGUUUCUCUAACACGCUCAUUUGUAUUUAUUCGUCUCAGAAGUCAAAGAAAAAAACACAACAUACAAAAGGCAGAGUGGUGCUUUUCUAUGUCAAUAUGUGUUUGAGGACUUUUCUAGCUAAUUGACAUAAACUCGACAGCUAGACCAGAUGACAAGCAAGAAUAUCCAUCCCAUAAUGAGGCUUCCGGCACUGGCUUAAUCAAGUAAAUCCAGAAAACAAGGCUCAAAAUUACUUGAGAAAGGUUUUAAUUGUUUUUGCAUCUUUUCUCUUUUUUCUUUCUCUUAUUUUAGAAAAAUUAUUCUUAGAGGUAGAGUCUCAA
Molecule: long non-coding RNA, 1687 nt
Filed under: Homo sapiens (human)
Lineage: Eukaryota; Metazoa; Chordata; Mammalia; Primates; Hominidae
Description: HSALNT0100744
Source: RNAcentral